CCUUGGGUCCGGCAUAACUCCGGGAAACUGGAGAUAAUUCCGGAUAACGCACAUAUGCUGGAAUGCUUUAUGCGUAAAAUGGAUUCGUCUGCCCAAGGAUGGGUCUGCGGCCUAUCAGGUAGUAGUGGGUGUAAUGUACCUACUAGCCUACGACGGGUACGGGUUGUGAGAGCAAGAGCCCGGAGAUGGAUUCUGAGACAUGAAUCCAGGCCCUACGGGGCGCAGCAGGCGCGAAAACUUUACAAUGCGGGAAACCGUGAUAAGGGGACACCGAGUGCCAGCAUCAUAUGCUGGCUGUCCAGGUGUGUAAAAUACACCUGUUAGCAAGGGCCGGGCAAGACCGGUGCCAGCCGCCGCGGUAACACCGGCGGCCCGAGUGGUGAUCGUGAUUAUUGGGUCUAAAGGGUCCGUAGCCGGUUUGGUCAGUCCUCCGGGAAAUCUGAUAGCUCAACUAUUAGGCUUUCGGAGGAUACUGCCAGACUUGGAACCGGGAGAGGUAAGAGGUACUACAGGGGUAGGAGUGAAAUCUUGUAAUCCCUGUGGGACCACCUGUGGCGAAGGCGUCUUACCAGAACGGGUUCGACGGUGAGGGACGAAAGCUGGGGGCACGAACCGGAUUAGAUACCCGGGUAGUCCCAGCCGUAAACGAUGCUCGCUAGGUGUCAGGCAUGGCGCGACCGUGUCUGGUGCCGCAGGGAAGCCGUGAAGCGAGCCACCUGGGAAGUACGGCCGCAAGGCUGAAACUUA
RNAcentral lists this ribosomal RNA (747 nucleotides) under uncultured euryarchaeote. RNAcentral describes it as "bacterial SSU rRNA". It matches the Rfam family "Archaeal small subunit ribosomal RNA", at positions 113 to 858 of the family's 1478-position model. The record is from RNAcentral. Lineage: Archaea; Methanobacteriati; Methanobacteriota.